GGGGCUAUAGUUUAGCUUGGAUAGAAUACGAGCUUGCGGAGCUUGAGGUCGGGGGUUCAAAUCCCCCUAGUCCCG
Molecule: transfer RNA, 75 nt
Filed under: Candidatus Woesearchaeota archaeon
Lineage: Archaea; Nanobdellati; Candidatus Woesearchaeota
Description: tRNA-Arg
Rfam family: tRNA
About the family: Transfer RNA (tRNA) molecules are approximately 80 nucleotides in length. Their secondary structure includes four short double-helical elements and three loops (D, anti-codon, and T loops).
Source: RNAcentral